Molecule: long non-coding RNA, 629 nt
Organism: Drosophila santomea
Lineage: Eukaryota; Metazoa; Arthropoda; Insecta; Diptera; Drosophilidae
Exons: 2
Source: RefSeq, a predicted model, not a curated record
ACCGGUUUCUUAAAUUUCACUGCAUCCACGGCAUUGGUAGUAAAAUUCGAACGCAUUUCAAAAAAACCGAAAUAAAAGCCAAACAUGUUGACCAACUCAUUUGCAGCAGCGAACAGCAAACAGCAUUGUAAUUGCGCCUGUUUUUCGGAACAUUUACAAACACUCGAUGCAAAAUAGAGGGUGUGGGUGGUGGUGUUCAGAUUACGUGCGGAGUAGGGAAAACUAAAAUCAGUUUAGCACAUGCACCAGUAUUUUGUGCUGCAAAAACGCAGUGCAAAGACCAACCAACCAGGCCAGACCAGCCAUGGAUGGCCACAGAAACCACAACAGUGCAACGGGAGCCAGGAAUCAGGAGCAGGAUCAGAAGCACUGGCCAUGUGAUUUCACUGCACCAAUGUCCCGGCAAUUGCCGUACGGCCAGCACUUUGGCCGAAGCAGAAGCAGAAUCAGAAGCACUUUGGCUGCCCAUGUUGAAAAUUCAAAUUUAUGCCAAGCCGGGGCCAAAACAUUCAAAAUAUCCUUGCUGUGCUCCGUCCUUCUGUGACCACCUCCCACUCCACAGCAUUCGACAGAAAGAAAGUUCUCAAGUCUCUUAAAGUUCAGAUUUUGAAUAAAUAGCUUUGGAUUAA